AUUGAACGCUGGCGGCAUGCUUUACACAUGCAAGUCGAACGGUAACAGGCCUUCGGGUGCUGACGAGUGGCGAACGGGUGAGUAAUGCAUCGGAACGUACCCAGAGGUGGGGGAUAACGCAGCGAAAGCUGUGCUAAUACCGCAUGUGAUCUGAGGAUGAAAGCGGGGGACCGAGCAGCAAUGUUUGGCCUCGCGCCUUUGGAGCGGCCGAUGUCGGAUUAGCUAGUUGGUGGGGUAAAGGCCUACCAAGGCGACGAUCCGUAGCUGGUCUGAGAGGACGGCCAGCCACACUGGGACUGAGACACGGCCCAGACUCCUACGGGAGGCAGCAGUGGGGAAUUUUGGACGAUGGGCGCAAGCCUGAUCCAGCAAUGCCGCGUGCGGGAAGAAGGCCUUCGGGUUGUAAACCGCUUUUGGCAGGAACGAAACGGUGUCCGCUAAUACCGGGCGCUAAUGACGGUACCUGCAGAAUAAGCACCGGCUAACUACGUG
Molecule: ribosomal RNA, 492 nt
Filed under: uncultured bacterium
Lineage: Bacteria
Description: partial 16S ribosomal RNA
Rfam family: Bacterial small subunit ribosomal RNA
Source: RNAcentral